Molecule: ribosomal RNA, 292 nt
Filed under: uncultured bacterium
Lineage: Bacteria
Description: partial 16S ribosomal RNA
Rfam family: Bacterial small subunit ribosomal RNA
Source: RNAcentral
GUGUCAGCAGCCGCGGUAAUACAGAGGGUGCAAGCGUUGUUCGGAAUUAUUGGGCGUAAAGGGAGUGUAGGCGGUUGGGAAAGUCUUCUGUGAAAUCUACGGGCUCAGCCUGUAACGUGCAGAGGAAACUACUCGGCUUGAGUGUCGGAGAGGAUAGGGGAAUACCCGGUGUAGAGGUGAAAUUCGUAGAGAUCGGGUGGAACACCAGUGGCGAAGGCGCCUGUCUGGCUGACAACUGACGCUGAGACUCGAAAGCAUGGGGAGCAAACAGGAUUAGAUACCCUAGUAGUCC